UCCUCUUUAGCUCAGUUGGUUAGAGCACCUGACUGUUAAUCAGGGUGUCGUAGGUUCAAGUCCUACAAGAGGAG
Molecule: transfer RNA, 74 nt
Filed under: Bacteroidota bacterium
Lineage: Bacteria; Pseudomonadati; Bacteroidota
Description: Bacteroidetes bacterium (cold seep metagenome) tRNA-Asn
Rfam family: tRNA
About the family: Transfer RNA (tRNA) molecules are approximately 80 nucleotides in length. Their secondary structure includes four short double-helical elements and three loops (D, anti-codon, and T loops). Further hydrogen bonds mediate the characteristic L-shaped molecular structure. tRNAs have two regions of fundamental functional importance: the anti-codon, which is responsible for specific mRNA codon recognition, and the 3' end, to which the tRNAs corresponding amino acid is attached (by aminoacyl-tRNA synthetases). tRNAs cope with the degeneracy of the genetic code in two manners: having more than one tRNA (with a specific anti-codon) for a particular amino acid; and 'wobble' base-pairing, i.e. permitting non-standard base-pairing at the 3rd anti-codon position.
Source: RNAcentral